CAUAAAAAUGCGUGUCCUCCCCAGUCUCAGCCUUCCUGUUUUUGCUGCUAUUCUCUCUCAGCCCAGAUUUGUUGAGUGCACUAUCAGGGCCACAGCUGCACUCCCCUCACAGCUGCCCCUUCCCUCCACAGGGCAGUAGCAGCCCCUCAGGUGCUGAGGCAGCAGUUCUCCUCAUGAAAACUCUAUUCAAUUAUGAUAUCCCCUCUGGGGAAGGUUGCUACCAGGAUCUUUCUUAACAAGAUUUGGGCCUGGAGGUUUGUUUCCAGCAGUGCUUGAGCUGGCUGGAAGGGGUUGUGGCUUGCCCCAGCCAGCUCCCUAACAUGGCUGCCGUGGCCCCCUGCUUUACAUCCCUCCUUGCUGCAGAGGCAGGGAAGAAUACCACAGGAAAUGGUUGAAAAAGGACUGCUUUGGGAACCCCGUGAGGAACCAGCAAGGUUGUUGUCCUAUAAAGCUGUUCAAGUUCCUCUCUUCGUGAGAACAUCUUCGUGCUAUCCCUGCUGCAUACAAGCAUUAUGUUAGAUCGAGAAGAAGGCUAUUCAGGAAAACUAUCCCCAAAUACUUCUGAAGCACUAUUCAAGAUUCUUUUGUGUAAAACCUUACCAGAAGAGGAAUGCCUUGUUUGCCCUGCUGCUCCAUCACCCAUCUGAUGACUGCUUAACAGACUUGUGAUUAUACUGUUAAUAUAACAAUUUCUGUGUAAAAAGUUGCCUGGCUUGUGUCUGAGGAAAUCCAUGAGCGCUGGAUAGGUACGCUUGCUUGCGUGUGGACUCUUUGCUGAUUUAUUAUAGAGGCAUCACCCAACUUCCCUAUUAUGACACGAAAGCUGGGAAGAAUGAUUUAGCACUACAUCUCUUCCAGUGUUAAAAUGCAGAGUUUCUAGAAUCGUGAGCCUGCGCCCCAGGAGGGUGACUCAGACCUUUUGCUGAGCAUUAGGGAAAUCUUUGUGUCAGGCUCCUGAAAGUAACCAUACCAGAAGUUGUGUGUCCUUACCAAGUUAAGUGUCCUCUGAAUUUCUCUGUGAGAGAAGCAGUGCUUUCUUCCUCUGUGUCCUUUUCCCAGUAAUGGACAGUAUCUACAAAUGUAAAAUGCCACGCUGCGUGUUGGUCCCACAAGAAUUCUUAGGUAAUGCCACAACCUCCAAGGUAACAUCUGCCCUUGUGUCGUGCAGGUACUGAGAAGGGGAGAAAUUGGUCUGAUCUGCCAAAAAGGGAGGGAAACAAAAGUAUGUAAGAACAGUCACAAAAUGUUUUUAUGAAUUGCAGUCUAUGGAGCUGCAGUUAGAUCACACGCCAAUAGUUCCAGAGUUAUUUUUCAUCCUCAAGCUUUCAUGUGUCCUAUGCACAUACAAAACUCUGAAUUCCCUCCCCAAGGAGCCAAGAAAAUGUUUUCCUUAAAUCUGUGACAGCAAUAGUACUGUUUUGCAUGUGUUUAAUAAGAGCAGAAUUACAGUAAUGUUCCUGUUCCAUGUGAGCAAAUAUAGUAAGUAUUUCCACAAUGGCUACAACUGGGAUUUUGUAAUGCUCACUGCUUUAACCAGUUUAAAUAAAGCAAGGCGAGCCCCUAUCUGAUUUGCUAAA
This 1577-nucleotide long non-coding RNA is filed under the name Phasianus colchicus (ring-necked pheasant). Its description in RNAcentral is "lncRNA (ENSPCLG00000001830.1)". The record is from RNAcentral. Lineage: Eukaryota; Metazoa; Chordata; Aves; Galliformes; Phasianidae.